RNAcentral lists this ribosomal RNA (534 nucleotides) under uncultured bacterium. RNAcentral describes it as "bacterial SSU rRNA". It matches the Rfam family "Bacterial small subunit ribosomal RNA", at positions 337 to 862 of the family's 1533-position model. The record is from RNAcentral.
UCCUACGGGAGGCAGCAGUGGGGAAUAUUGGACAAUGGGCGCAAGCCUGAUCCAGCAAUGCCGCGUGUGUGAAGAAGGCCUUCGGGUUGUAAAGCACUUUUAUCAGGAAAGAAAUCCUGCCGGUUAAUACCCGGCGGGGAUGACGGUACCUGAGGAAUAAGCACCGGCUAACUUCGUGCCAGCAGCCGCGGUAAUACGAAGGGUGCAAGCGUUAAUCGGAAUUACUGGGCGUAAAGGGUGCGUAGGCGGCCUGUUAAGUCAGAUGUGAAAGCCCUGGGCUCAACCUGGGAAUGGCAUUUGAGACUGGGAGGCUGGAGUGCGGUAGAGGGUGGUGGAAUUCCCGGUGUAGCGGUGAAAUGCGUAGAGAUCGGGAGGAACAUCGAUGGCGAAGGCAGCCACCUGGACCAGCACUGACGCUGAGGCACGAAAGCGUGGGGAGCAAACAGGAUUAGAUACCCUGGUAGUCCACGCCCUAAACGAUGCGAACUGGAUGUUGGGCUCACUUAGGAGUUCAGUAUCGAAGCUAACGCGUAA